This 307-nucleotide unclassified non-coding RNA is filed under the name plant metagenome. RNAcentral describes it as "partial contains 5.8S ribosomal RNA, internal transcribed spacer 2, and large subunit ribosomal RNA". The stretch from base 1 to 105 matches the Rfam family "5.8S ribosomal RNA", at positions 50 to 154 of the family's 154-position model. The record is from RNAcentral.
GAAAUGCGAUAAGUAAUGUGAAUUGCAGAAUUCAGUGAAUCAUCGAAUCUUUGAACGCACAUUGCGCCCGCCAGUAUUCUGGCGGGCAUGCCUGUUCGAGCGUCAUUUCAACCAUCAAGCCCCCGGCUUGUGUUGGGGACCUGCGGCUGCCCGCAGGCCCUGAAAAACAGUGGCGGGCUCGCUGUCACACCGAGCGUAGUAGCAUACAUUCUCGCUCAGGGCGUGCUGCGGGUUCCGGCCGUUAAAAUCGACCUUCAUAACCCAAGGUUGACCUCGGAUCAGGUAGGAAGACCCGCUGAACUUAAGC